This 217-nucleotide long non-coding RNA is filed under the name Lathyrus oleraceus (garden pea). RNAcentral describes it as "Pisum sativum (pea) long non-coding RNA (PSAT_LNC039312)". Lineage: Eukaryota; Viridiplantae; Streptophyta; Magnoliopsida; Fabales; Fabaceae. The record is from RNAcentral.
ACUUUUUUUUUUUUUUUUUUUUUUUUUUUUUUUUUUUUUUUUUUUUUUUUUUGUUUUUUUUUUUUGCAAUGCCCCAGUUUGACUGUUUUGCUGGUUUUCGUGAUACAGCUGAAUGAGCUUCUUUUAUGCUCAAGAAGUCGGGUAAUCUCGUCAGGAAUCCCCUUUAACAUCAUCUUCCUCUGCCCCAGAUACAAGGACUUCAAGAUUGGGAGAUGGC